CCUACGGGGGGCAGCAGUGGGGAAUAUUGCACAAUGGGGGAAACCCUGAUGCAGCGACGCCGCGUGUGGGAAGACGGUCCUCUGGAUUGUAAACCACUGUCCCCAGGGACGAAGAUGACGGUACCUGGGGAGGAAGCUCCGGCUAACUACGUGCCAGCAGCCGCGGUAAUACGUAGGGAGCGAGCGUUGUCCGGAAUUACUGGGUGUAAGGGGAGCGUAGGCGGGACUGCAAGUUGGGUGUCAAAUCUACCGGCUCAACCGGUAGCCGCACUCAAAACUGCAGUUCUUGAGUGAAGUAGAGGCAGGCGGAAUUCCUAGUGUAGCGGUGAAAUGCGUAGAUAUUAGGAGGAACACCAGUGGCGAAGGCGGCCUGCUGGGCUUUUACUGACGCUGAGGCUCGAAAGUGUGGGGAGCAAACAGGAUUAGAUACCCGUGUAGUC
This 440-nucleotide ribosomal RNA is filed under the name uncultured bacterium. RNAcentral's name for it is "partial 16S ribosomal RNA". It matches the Rfam family "Bacterial small subunit ribosomal RNA", at positions 338 to 795 of the family's 1533-position model. The record is from RNAcentral.